Molecule: long non-coding RNA, 1096 nt
Filed under: Chrysolophus pictus (golden pheasant)
Lineage: Eukaryota; Metazoa; Chordata; Aves; Galliformes; Phasianidae
Description: lncRNA (ENSCPIG00010003770.1)
Source: RNAcentral
UCCAAUUGUACUGGAAGGCAAAGGGAACACAAGGGCGUAGGAAGAAGUUGCGAUACCGGCUUCGCAUCGAGUUGGCAAGCUUCCCCAGCAGCCUCCACUUGACAUGAGAUCUGCCGUGCCUUGAUGGACAUCUGAGAAGAGAAUUAGGUCCCAGAGAGGCUGCCUACGAAUUCAGGCAGCAUUAUAUGAAGAUGAGAAAUUCAGAGAUGCUGAAGGUCUGCGUCCCCAGUCAAACAGGUACAAACAAGGCACUUUUACACGGCUUGCCAAGAGGAGCCGCUGGCAGAGCAGCCCACCUUGCUCCUGGCACUGCGGCAGAGCAGCAUGCAGCCCUUCUGCUCCCUUCAGCAGCAGCAGGUGCCUGAGGCUACCCCGUUGCCUUCACAGAGAUACUGAUAGUGCUUCUGAAGGCAGCUGAGGCAUUUCAGGACUAGGACCGGGGAUGGACCUCCAUGAACAGCCAGCACAACAACAGCAAUAUCCUGUUUGUUUUUGUUUUGUUUUUUUUUUUCCCCUUGAACUCAGGCCAAGUCAAAGGAUACAGCGUAGCACUUUGGGUGUAUUUGCGUGCUCAAGGCUCUGGGCCUCGCAGCAGCCCCCCUCGGGCAUCAGGACUCAUCAGAGCACCAAGGACACAUCGACUCUCACUCAUCUCUUGCACUUUUAGAAGCAGAGUUGCAGUUAAGACUACGGAGUUAGCUAUAUGUAACAGCUCAUUUGCAGAGAAAUAUCCCCUACAAGACAGGAGGAUGCUGCUUCUAAUCGCACGGCCGAAGUGCAAUGCUGUGAGACUGAAAUGGACAACCGAACCAUAUGAUCAGCCUUCUUUUAUGAGAACGCUAUGUCAGUCAGUCAGUUUAUGACCUGAAAUUGGAUGGGAAAAGUCUGAUCCUGGCCCUGCUGAAUGCAAAGAGUUUCAUUUUGCCGUUCUGUUUAGGACAUACAGCUUUGCAGCUCCUGCCAUCACAUCCUCGACCUUCUGUGUGUCAUUACCUUGAGACUGAAGUUUUGCUGUCCCUCCCCACCUCCUGCUGGGAGCUGAGCAGCACUGCGGGCACCCGGUGCCCAGGUCCUUCCUGUGUCAGAGGCCUCGGCG